CUCUCGGUAGCCAAGUUGGUCUAAGGCGCAAGACUGUAAAUCUUGAGAUCGGGCGUUCGACUCGCCCCCGGGAGA
RNAcentral lists this transfer RNA (75 nucleotides) under Saccharomyces kudriavzevii IFO 1802. Its description in RNAcentral is "tRNA-Tyr (GTA) (tRNA-Tyr-GTA-2 1 to 4)". It matches the Rfam family "tRNA". From Rfam's summary of the family: Transfer RNA (tRNA) molecules are approximately 80 nucleotides in length. Lineage: Eukaryota; Fungi; Ascomycota; Saccharomycetes; Saccharomycetales; Saccharomycetaceae. The record is from RNAcentral. RNAcentral also lists the same sequence under 3 other names.